AUGCGUGGUCUCGUUGGAGGUUGGUUGGUUGGCCGUGUCGCAUGCGCCGACCGUGACCGCAACUUGAGUUCCGACGGACGGACGGGUGGAGGAGAAGUGCACGGCAGCAUGCGUCGUGAAGCUCGCGUGCGCGGUGACGUCGCCGCUCGCUCCGGCGUAUCGACGCCGACGGCGACGUACGCGUCCGGCGCCGCGAGCCGCCCUACGUGUCGCGCGAGCGCGUGCGGGCGGAACCUUCCGAGGUAUUCCCGGCCCGGCUGGCCCUCCGCUGAAAUUUCUUUCCUAUUUCGCGCACGUGAGCCCACCGCCGCUCGGAUCGGCGCGGGCCGGGCCCGCCACGUGUUAGGCGCCCCCGACCGAGCUGGCCACCACCCGGCGACCCCGUCGUCGUCUCGGACUCCAACGCGAAGCAGCAGCAGGGCGAGGAAAAAGGGCGACCGGCGGAAAAUAUCUCCGGCUCGUUCGUCUCCACCAGGGGCCGGCGAGAUGUCGUCGGCGAUGUCCCGCGCGAUCCGGGGGGCCGUCGCGGCUGGGGUGUCGAGGAGGGGCCUGGCGUCCGUGGAGGCGAUGGGGGCGGCGAAGGGGGCGCCGCCCGCGGCGGGGCGCUGGGCCGGGCGCGGGCGCGGCGGCCCGGGGCCCGUGGAGGACGGGGCGCGGGUGCAGUGGGUGUUCCUGGGAUGCCCCGGGGUCGGCAAGGGCACCUACGCCGGCCGCCUCUCGCGGCUGCUCGGCGUGCCCCACAUCGCCACCGGCGACCUCGUGCGCGACGAGCUCGCCUCCCAGGGCCCCCUCUCCAAGCAGCUUUCGGAGAUUGUGAAUCAUGGGAAACUGGUGUCUGAUGAGAUCAUCAUAAAUCUGCUGUCAAAGCGCCUUGAGGAGGGAGGAGAGAAGGGUGAAUUAGGCUUCAUACUUGAUGGUUUUCCAAGAACUAUAAGACAAGCGGAAAUACUGGAGGGAGUCACAGAUAUUGAUUUGGUGAUCAAUCUCAAACUUCAAGAAGAGGCUCUGCUUGCAAAAUGCAUUGGUAGAAGGAAGUGCAGCCAGUGUGGAGGAAACUUCAAUGUGGCCUCCAUUGACAUUGAGGGUGAGAAUGGCGGGCCUCGAAUGUAUAUGCCUCCACUACUACCUCCUCCACAGUGCGAAUCAAAGUUAAUUACCAGAGCAGAUGAUACCGAAGAGGUGGUAAAGGAGCGAUUGCGUGUUUACCAUGAUUUGUGUGAACCAGUGGAGGAUUUCUACAGAGCACGGGGGAAACUCUUGGAGUUCAAUUUACCAGGAGGAAUCCCCGAAUCAUGGCCGAAGCUGCUCCAAGCUUUGAAUAUAGAAGAAGAUCCUGAUAACAAUAGAUCUGCAGCAGCAUAA
This 1362-nucleotide ribosomal RNA is filed under the name Triticum aestivum (bread wheat). RNAcentral's name for it is "partial small subunit ribosomal RNA". Lineage: Eukaryota; Viridiplantae; Streptophyta; Magnoliopsida; Poales; Poaceae. The record is from RNAcentral.